Molecule: long non-coding RNA, 3662 nt
Organism: Bombus pyrosoma
Lineage: Eukaryota; Metazoa; Arthropoda; Insecta; Hymenoptera; Apidae
Exons: 2
Source: RefSeq, a predicted model, not a curated record
UUAAUCAAGAACAACUCAAUUUAAAAUAAUUUAUAAACAAACUAUGAUUAAAAAUUACACUAUGAAUAAUUUAUGACUUAACAAUUCAAAUCACGAUUCGAAAUUUAAAUAAAUUAACAAAACACGAUACGAUACUACACUAAGAACAAUCUAUGAUUUGACAGUUGGAUAAACUACGAUCUAAGAUUUUAAUCAAUCAAGACUAAUUCGCGAUUUGAAUAAAUUAAGAAAUUAAACAAGGAAGGGAAAAGGAACGGAACAGGGAUACAUAUUUUAAUAAUAAAUGUGGAAUACCUAAAAUACAAAUCCACAAAACCAACUAAUAACUAACAGAUAUAAAGAAAUACAUUACGUUAUAACAAUCCAAUACAUAUGAAAAUAGUACAUAUGCGGAAUAUACAUACAUGCAUCAUAUAUAUAUAUAUCGGAUUCACAUUAUGAUUAGGGUUGGGAUUAAAGGGGCGUGAAAUGAAUCUUCGUUGUGGUUAGACUUUGUCGUUAUGCAAUAGAGAAGAUAUUGACUAAUGCAAACACGAUCGUUACAGAUAUCGACAAGUAACAGUGGUAAUUAGAUACUCGAAACGCUAGUGACAAUGAUUCUAGGUUCGAUAACGAAUCCACGGUCAACAGGAUAACUCUUUAUUAAACGUAAAAUACUUUAACACGCAAACACGUUUAAUGGGACGCUCUGUCGACCAAAACAAUGACAUACUCUUUAGAGUCACUUUUACCGCUCAGUUUGCCCGUUAUGUCCAUGUGCACUGUAUGCCAAGAUAUGCUGGUCUUGGGUAUAGGAUGUAAUUCAGCUUGUAUUUUACCUGACCUUCGUUGCGAUUAGACAUUGUCGUUAUGCAAUAGAGAAGAUAUUGACUAGAGCAAAUAUGAUUGUUACAGAUAUCGACGAGUAACCGUGGUAAUUAGAUACUCGAGACGCUAAUGACAAUGAUCCUAGGUUCGAUAACGAAUUCGCGGUCAACGGGAUAGUGGAGUCGCAAGCAGGAAUGAAUUUUCGUCGCGAUGAUGCCACCGAGGAAAACUAUGACGGGGUGUGCCCAAGGGUACGAGACCAUCGGAUUUGUGGAGAAAGCCUUCGUUCGGAAAGUGAGGGAAAUUGGCGUUGCUGUUAAUUGGUCAAUUUCCAUGUCGGUGGUUAGAAAAGGACGCUAGCCGCCCUUGAGGAAAAGUUGCUAGUGGGAAGCGUCGUUCAUGAGGAAAUAGGUUUCCCCUAUCCUCCCGUAGUUGGGACAAAGACUGUUUGUCCAUUUGAAGGUCUUUAGUUAACUAAAUCUUAAGAUUUAUAACGGGUCCUCAGGCUAGCUGAACAUGCACUGCGGAGACGCAUCGACAUCUGGCAACCAUCUUACCCGGAGAGUAGAGCCACGGGACAGAGACCGUUGAAAUGUCCAUUGUCAAGUAUCGCUGCAACUAUUUCUUUUAAGGAGAGCUAUACUGUUACUCUAUACCUUUGUUAAACAAACGUUCAUCCCUUGACCGCGGCUACGUUGGCGACUGGUUGUCGCCUCGAGCCCAAGCUCACUGUCACGAAUCUCAAAUAAGUACAAUCGGGUUGAAUGACAAUUGUUUAAUUACGGCUAUGGUAGAAUCUAGAUUACAAUAUUACGGGAUUUUCCCAAAGUUCCAAAGGAAGGCUCCGGUGUUCUUUCAUCUCCGACAUAUAUAUAUAUAUAUAUAUAUAUAUAUAUAUAUAUAUCACAUGUAGUAAAUAAAAGAUGAAUGACGCGAGACAAAUAAAAAAUAAUAAAACAAAACAAGGUACGCACUGGGACAGUCUGCAUAAGGAACCUUUGACGAAGACACCUCUGUAUUCACCAUUUAAAAUCAUAAUCACCAAAACCUACACCGAAAAACAAUAAAUCAAACCAAACACUGGAGACAACAAUCAGAUGGAAAUAUUAACCAAAUGAGUAAAAUAACGUAAAGACACAUUUCACGAAGUCUCUCCAUACACUGGGAGCAUACAGCAGGGAAGAUUUCCCCGACCGGAAGAGCGGAGACAUAGGAGAAUAUCCAGGACUUCGGCAGAAGUCUCCUCAGGGAAGCGAGCCUUCGCACAGUCAUCUGUAUCGUCUUCAUGAGCAAUCCACACAUUUUUGGAAUCUCUUCUCCUCUGGCGCUAAAACAAUACAUACAAGAUCAGGCAGACAAACGGACGAAAGACCAUAGGAAAGAAGACAAAGUUAAAAUAAAUAAAAUAAUACAUACUCGUACAGGUUGGACAAAUGCAGGUACUUCCAUGUCCAUAACCAACAUAACCUGCACUCACAGAGGAAAAUAUAUAAACCCCAACAAACUAAAAUAUCGAGGAAACUAAAAUAAAUAAAAUUUAUUCGAUCUACGAUAUCGAACUGAACCGUCAAAACCGCGCAUCGUCAUGCACAAACACACAUUAAAACUUAAUGCCGUAUUCACAAACGAAAAUGUAAACUAUUACAUAAAAACAAUCAAAUGGACGAAAUACCAUUAGAAAUAGGAGAAGGUUAAAAUAAAUAAAAUGAUACGUAUUACAACCAACUAAAAUACCGAGCAAACUUAAAUAAAAUAAAAUAAAUAAACAAAAAAAAAACAACACUAAAAAUAAUUUAUUCGAUUUACAAUAUCGAACUACCACGCACAACUGCGCAUUAGAAUUUACUAUGAAUUAAUAAUAAUAUUGUCUAUUGACAAUAGAAAAUAUAAACCAUCGCACAAAACGAUCAAAACGCGUAAGAUGUGGACAGAUAAUAAAUAACAGAAACACAUAACACGACACUAUGAAUAUAAGACAACCUCAAAUUGUAAAACUAUAUACCUUAUUGAACGAAACUGUCACACAAUAUAACAAUUCACGAAAUUCCCCAUAAACAAAUAAAUUGAGCCUCAACAUAAAUUACGCAAGAUAACUGGAAGAAAAACGUUAUUAUGGGAGAACAACGAUUACGCGUGGUACACGUACGACAAUUCCACAGAGCAAUAAAAGUCGCACUACCACCUCCACUAUUAUUCGCAUGUAAGAUUCCGAUACACGUGCCUUGAACGUUCCCACUGGCAUCAGCAUAGAAGGUUCCAAAAGCUUCCCAGACGCAACGUAGAUUCUUCAACAAGGACACGUUGCCACGCACCUUGAACAUUCCCACAGUCAUCAGCAGGAAAGGUUCCAGAAACAUCGCAGACACAACUUCAGCAAAAGACGAAACCAGUAUAAUAUCCUCAUUUCAUCACGUACUUUGAAUGGUCUCAUCAGCUCCGGAGAAGGAAUAUGAGAAGUCAAGACAUCAGCGAUCACCAAAAUCUACGUUCUCUCACGUACGAUGGCGGGAACACCAAAACUGCAACAUUGCGAUUCCCACAGGAGCAAACUGUCACCCAGUGGGGGAUUUAAUUAUAAAUAAGCCUAGAGACAUAGAAAACACGCUUAGUUACCGGUUGAUUAUUCGAAGUGUUUACACCGUCAUUCUGUCAGUUUGAUUCACAAAUAAUUUUUACAAUCAAAAUUUAUAAGUGUUAAUUACGAGUAAAGACGCUUAGUUACAGUUUAUUAUUCAAAGUGUUUAUACCGUCACUCUGUCAGUUUGUCUCUCAAAUAAUUGUUACAAAGAAAAUUGUAAGUGUUAACUAUUGUUAUCAUUCGAGAAUCACGGAAUAAAUCCGUGCGGAAAUACCAA